Molecule: ribosomal RNA, 253 nt
Filed under: uncultured bacterium
Lineage: Bacteria
Description: partial 16S ribosomal RNA
Rfam family: Bacterial small subunit ribosomal RNA
Source: RNAcentral
UACGUAGGGUGCGAGCGUUAAUCGGAAUUACUGGGCGUAAAGCGUGCGCAGGCGGUGAGCUGUGUCCGAUGUGAAAGCCCCGGGCUUAACCUGGGAAUGGCAUUGGAAACUGGCUUGCUCGAGUGCGGCAGAGGGGGGUGGAAUUCCGCGUGUAGCAGUGAAAUGCGUAGAGAUGCGGAGGAACACCGAUGGUGAAGGCAGCCCCCUGGGUCGACACUGACGCUCAGGCACGAAAGCGUGGGGAUCAAACAGG